RNAcentral lists this ribosomal RNA (289 nucleotides) under uncultured bacterium. RNAcentral describes it as "partial 16S ribosomal RNA". It matches the Rfam family "Bacterial small subunit ribosomal RNA", at positions 775 to 1067 of the family's 1533-position model. The record is from RNAcentral.
GGAUUAGAUACCCUGGUAGUCCACGCAGUAAACGAUGAAUACUAAUUGUUGGCGAUAUACAGUCAGUGAUACAGCGAAAGCGUUAAGUAUUCCACCUGGGGAGUACGCCGGCAACGGUGAAACUCAAAGGAAUUGACGGGGGCCCGCACAAGCGGAGGAACAUGUGGUUUAAUUCGAUGAUACGCGAGGAACCUUACCCGGGCUUGAACGUAGUUUGACCGUUUUGGAAACAAGACUUCUAGCAAUAGCAAAUUACGAGGUGCUGCAUGGUUGUCGUCAGCUCGUGCCG